UCUGGGAUGUUGUGUGAUCGAAUGAUUGAAUUACACGGUAACUCACCACGGAAGGAUAAUUUUAAUAUUUUCAUCAAAUUUCAAAUCUUUCGAAUAGUUAUGACACAUUGCUAGAUAUCAAUGUAGACUUGUGGACUUGUUAGAAUUAAAAAAGUUUAAUUUAAGAAUCAAUUAGGAAGAGUCCUAGUUGAUUGGAACUCUUGAGCUGACCUAAUCCAAUCGG
This 223-nucleotide long non-coding RNA is filed under the name Elaeis guineensis (African oil palm). RNAcentral's name for it is "long non-coding RNA (EGUI_LNC080237)". The record is from RNAcentral. Lineage: Eukaryota; Viridiplantae; Streptophyta; Magnoliopsida; Arecales; Arecaceae.